AUUGAACGCUGGCGGCAGGCCUAACACAUGCAAGUCGAACGAGUGGCGGACGGGUGCGUAAUGUCUGGGAAACUGCCCAUUGGAGGGGGAUAACUACUGGAAACGGUAGCUAAUACCGCAUACACUCGGAUGUGCCCAGAUGGGAUUAGCUAGUCGGUGGGGUAACGGCUCACCUAGGCGACGAUCCCUAGCUGGUCUGAGAGGAUGACCAGACACACUGGAACUGAGACACGGUCCAGACUCCUACGGGAGGCAGCAGUGGGGAAUAUUGCACAAUGGGCGCAAGCCUUAUGCAGCCAUGCCGCGUGUAUGAAGAAGGCCUUAGGGUUGUAAAGUACUUUCAGCGAGGAGGCGUUACCCGCAGAAGAAGCACCGGCUAACUCCGUGCCAGCAGCCGCGGUAAUAC
RNAcentral lists this ribosomal RNA (406 nucleotides) under uncultured bacterium. RNAcentral describes it as "partial 16S ribosomal RNA". It matches the Rfam family "Bacterial small subunit ribosomal RNA", at positions 30 to 526 of the family's 1533-position model. The record is from RNAcentral.